GGGCUAUCUGGCUGCCACAUCUGUCACCCCAUUGAUCACCAGGGUUGAUUCGGCUGAUCUGGCUGGCGAGGCAGGUGUCCCCUUCCUCCCUCACUGUAGCUGAGCUCGGUCGAAGAGGAUGACCAUCCCUGUUAGAGGAGGACCGGUGUUCGGUCAAGGGUAUGCGAGUAGCUGUGCUCCUCUGCUAGAACCUCCAUACAAGUUCUCAAGGUCCAUUUAGGAAUUUUUUAAAAAAUAAUUUCUUUUGAAAUGAAAAUGAAGCCAGUUUUCAUU
RNAcentral lists this small nuclear RNA (273 nucleotides) under Dipodomys ordii (Ord's kangaroo rat). RNAcentral's name for it is "7SK RNA". It matches the Rfam family "7SK RNA". Rfam says of the family: 7SK was discovered as an abundant small nuclear RNA in the mid-70s but a possible function has only recently been suggested. Two independent studies have found that 7SK RNA binds the CDK9/cyclin T complex (known as elongation factor P-TEFb). P-TEFb activates transcription by phosphorylating the C-terminal domain of RNA polymerase II. Lineage: Eukaryota; Metazoa; Chordata; Mammalia; Rodentia; Heteromyidae. The record is from Rfam by way of RNAcentral.